This 497-nucleotide ribosomal RNA is filed under the name uncultured bacterium. RNAcentral describes it as "partial 16S ribosomal RNA". It matches the Rfam family "Bacterial small subunit ribosomal RNA", at positions 28 to 507 of the family's 1533-position model. The record is from RNAcentral.
GAUGAACGCUGGCGGCGUGCCUAAUACAUGCAAGUCGAGCGAACAGACGAGGAGCUUGCUUCUCUGACGUUAGCGGCGGACGGGUGAGUAACACGUGGAUAACCUACCUAUAAGACUGGGAUAAUCUCGGGAAUCCGGAGCUAAUACCGGAUAAUCUACUGCACCGCAUGGUUCAAUAGUGAAAGACGGUUUUGCUGUCACUACUAGAUGGAUCUGCGCCGCAUUGGCUAGUUGGUAAGGUAACGGCUUACCAAGGCAACCAUGCGUAGCCGACCUGAGAGGGUGAUAGGCCACACUGGAACUGGGACACGGUCCAGACUCCUACGGGAGGCAGCAGUAGGGAAUCUUCCGCAAUGGGCGAAAGCCUGGCGGAGCAACCCCGCGUGAGUGAUGAAGGUCUUCGGAUCGUAAAACUCUGUUAUUAGGGAAGAACAAAUGUGUAAGUAACUAUGCACGUCUUGACGGUACCUAAUCAGAAAGCCACGGCUAACUACGUG